Long non-coding RNA from Lucilia cuprina (Australian sheep blowfly), 456 nucleotides. RefSeq lists it as uncharacterized. The transcript has 3 exons. The record is from RefSeq and is a predicted model, not a curated record. NCBI's taxonomy places the organism in Eukaryota, Metazoa, Arthropoda, Insecta, Diptera, Calliphoridae.
AUUUAAGUGAAAAAAGUGUUAAAAGUUUAAAGAAAAACUUAAAUGUGAUUUUUUGCGUAAUUUGUUACGUUUUUUUGUUCAAUCGUUUGUUUUUGAAGAAAAAAAAUUUAUGAGUACAAGCUAAAGAGAGUGCAACAAGUGAGAGAAUGCAUAGUGGGAAAAAAGCAUAUAGCUGUUGUUGUUAUUUUGUGUGAAAAGAAAGUAGAGAAGUAAAUAAAAGUAUGUAAAUCAAUUAUGCGUUUUAAAGUGAUCGGUUAUUCGUUUUCAAAAUAAUCUACGUCGGCAAUUAUUCGUGUUUCGAAAAAUAAUAAAAAUAUUAAAAAGAGAAAAAACUGAAAUUAUGUUGAUAUAAGGAAAAACUUCUUAAAGAAACUUUAUGUUUGCCUCAAAGUAAAGAAGUAAUAACACUAACUAGGAAAAAAUAAAACGAGGACUUAUUAAUUUGCUGUAAUAAAC